This 512-nucleotide ribosomal RNA is filed under the name uncultured bacterium. Its description in RNAcentral is "partial 16S ribosomal RNA". It matches the Rfam family "Bacterial small subunit ribosomal RNA", at positions 28 to 507 of the family's 1533-position model. The record is from RNAcentral.
GAUGAACGCUGGCGGCGUGCCUAAUACAUGCAAGUCGAACGAAACUUCUUUAUCACCGAGUGCUUGCACUCACCGAUAAAGAGUUGAGUGGCGAACGGGUGAGUAACACGUGGGCAACCUGCCCAAAAGAGGGGGAUAACACUUGGAAACAAGUGCUAAUACCGCAUAACCAUAGUUACCGCAUGGUAACUAUGUAAAAGGUGGCUAUACUACCGCUUUUGGAUGGGCCCGCGGCGCAUUAGCUAGUUGGUAGGGUAAAGGCUUACCAAGGCAAUGAUGCGUAGCCGAAUUGAGAGGUUGAUCGGCCACAUUGGGACUGAGACACGGCCCAAACUCCUACGGGAGGCAGCAGUAGGGAAUCUUCCACAAUGGGCGAAAGCCUGAUGGAGCAACGCCGCGUGGGUGAAGAAGGUCUUCGGAUCGUAAAACCCUGUUGUUAGAGAAGAAAGUGCGUGAGAGUAACUGUUCACGUUUCGACGGUAUCUAACCGGAAAGCCACGGCUAACUACGUG